Non-coding RNA from Veillonella parvula, 99 nucleotides. Lineage: Bacteria; Bacillati; Bacillota; Negativicutes; Veillonellales; Veillonellaceae. The record is from Rfam.
CCUAACUAAGAUAAAAACACAGUUCUGGUUGGUAGUCCAGACGUAGGCAAGCCUAUCAGUAACCUUCCUCCUUGGUUGUCCAUUCUUAGGGAUAGAUUU